Molecule: ribosomal RNA, 2516 nt
Filed under: Shigella boydii
Lineage: Bacteria; Pseudomonadati; Pseudomonadota; Gammaproteobacteria; Enterobacterales; Enterobacteriaceae
Description: partial 23S ribosomal RNA
Rfam family: Bacterial large subunit ribosomal RNA
Source: RNAcentral
UAGGGCGGGACACGUGGUAUCCUGUCUGAAUAUGGGGGGACCAUCCUCCAAGGCUAAAUACUCCUGACUGACCGAUAGUGAACCAGUACCGUGAGGGAAAGGCGAAAAGAACCCCGGCGAGGGGAGUGAAAAAGAACCUGAAACCGUGUACGUACAAGCAGUGGGAGCACGCUUAGGCGUGUGACUGCGUACCUUUUGUAUAAUGGGUCAGCGACUUAUAUUCUGUAGCAAGGUUAACCGAAUAGGGGAGCCGAAGGGAAACCGAGUCUUAACUGGGCGUUAAGUUGCAGGGUAUAGACCCGAAACCCGGUGAUCUAGCCAUGGGCAGGUUGAAGGUUGGGUAACACUAACUGGAGGACCGAACCGACUAAUGUUGAAAAAUUAGCGGAUGACUUGUGGCUGGGGGUGAAAGGCCAAUCAAACCGGGAGAUAGCUGGUUCUCCCCGAAAGCUAUUUAGGUAGCGCCUCGUGAAUUCAUCUCCGGGGGUAGAGCACUGUUUCGGCAAGGGGGUCAUCCCGACUUACCAACCCGAUGCAAACUGCGAAUACCGGAGAAUGUUAUCACGGGAGACACACGGCGGGUGCUAACGUCCGUCGUGAAGAGGGAAACAACCCAGACCGCCAGCUAAGGUCCCAAAGUCAUGGUUAAGUGGGAAACGAUGUGGGAAGGCCCAGACAGCCAGGAUGUUGGCUUAGAAGCAGCCAUCAUUUAAAGAAAGCGUAAUAGCUCACUGGUCGAGUCGGCCUGCGCGGAAGAUGUAACGGGGCUAAACCAUGCACCGAAGCUGCGGCAGCGACGCUGAUGCGUUGUUGGGUAGGGGAGCGUUCUGUAAGCCUGUGAAGGUGUGCUGUGAGGUAUGCUGGAGGUAUCAGAAGUGCGAAUGCUGACAUAAGUAACGAUAAAGCGGGUGAAAAGCCCGCUCGCCGGAAGACCAAGGGUUCCUGUCCAACGUUAAUCGGGGCAGGGUGAGUCGACCCCUAAGGCGAGGCCGAAAGGCGUAGUCGAUGGGAAACAGGUUAAUAUUCCUGUACUUGGUGUUACUGCGAAGGGGGGACGGAGAAGGCUAUGUUGGCCGGGCGACGGUUGUCCCGGUUUAAGCGUGUAGGCUGGUUUUCCAGGCAAAUCCGGAAAACUAAGGCUGAGGCGUGAUGACGAGGCACUACGGUGCUGAAGCAACAAAUGCCCUGCUUCCAGGAAAAGCCUCUAAGCAUCAGGUAACAUCAAAUCGUACCCCAAACCGACACAGGUGGUCAGGUAGAGAAUACCAAGGCGCUUGAGAGAACUCGGGUGAAGGAACUAGGCAAAAUGGUGCCGUAACUUCGGGAGAAGGCACGCUGAUAUGUAGGUGAAGUCCCUCGCGGAUGGAGCUGAAAUCAGUCGAAGAUACCAGCUGGCUGCAACUGUUUAUUAAAAACACAGCACUGUGCAAACACGAAAGUGGACGUAUACGGUGUGACGCCUGCCCGGUGCCGGAAGGUUAAUUGAUGGGGUCAGCGCAAGCGAAGCUCUUGAUCGAAGCCCCGGUAAACGGCGGCCGUAACUAUAACGGUCCUAAGGUAGCGAAAUUCCUUGUCGGGUAAGUUCCGACCUGCACGAAUGGCGUAAUGAUGGCCAGGCUGUCUCCACCCGAGACUCAGUGAAAUUGAACUCGCUGUGAAGAUGCAGUGUACCCGCGGCAAGACGGAAAGACCCCGUGAACCUUUACUAUAGCUUGACACUGAACAUUGAGCCUUGAUGUGUAGGAUAGGUGGGAGGCUUUGAAGUGUGGACGCCAGUCUGCAUGGAGCCGACCUUGAAAUACCACCCUUUAAUGUUUGAUGUUCUAACGUUGACCCGUAAUCCGGGUUGCGGACAGUGUCUGGUGGGUAGUUUGACUGGGGCGGUCUCCUCCUAAAGAGUAACGGAGGAGCACGAAGGUUGGCUAAUCCUGGUCGGACAUCAGGAGGUUAGUGCAAUGGCAUAAGCCAGCUUGACUGCGAGCGUGACGGCGCGAGCAGGUGCGAAAGCAGGUCAUAGUGAUCCGGUGGUUCUGAAUGGAAGGGCCAUCGCUCAACGGAUAAAAGGUACUCCGGGGAUAACAGGCUGAUACCGCCCAAGAGUUCAUAUCGACGGCGGUGUUUGGCACCUCGAUGUCGGCUCAUCACAUCCUGGGGCUGAAGUAGGUCCCAAGGGUAUGGCUGUUCGCCAUUUAAAGUGGUACGCGAGCUGGGUUUAGAACGUCGUGAGACAGUUCGGUCCCUAUCUGCCGUGGGCGCUGGAGAACUGAGGGGGGCUGCUCCUAGUACGAGAGGACCGGAGUGGACGCAUCACUGGUGUUCGGGUUGUCAUGCCAAUGGCACUGCCCGGUAGCUAAAUGCGGAAGAGAUAAGUGCUGAAAGCAUCUAAGCACGAAACUUGCCCCGAGAUGAGUUCUCCCUGACUCCUUGAGAGUCCUGAAGGAACGUUGAAGACGACGACGUUGAUAGGCCGGGUGUGUAAGCGCAGCGAUGCGUUGAGCUAACCGGUACUAAUGAAC